GCAUACCUACGGGGCGCAGCAGUGGGGAAUAUUGCACAAUGGGGGAAACCCUGAUGCAGCGACGCCGCGUGAGUGAAGAAGUAUUUCGGUAUGUAAAGCUCUAUCAGCAGGGAAGAAAAAAGACGGUACCUGACUAAGAAGCCCCGGCUAACUACGUGCCAGCAGCCGCGGUAAUACGUAGGGGGCAAGCGUUAUCCGGAUUUACUGGGUGUAAAGGGAGCGUAGACGGAGCGGCAAGUCUGAAGUGAAAGGAAGGGGCUUAACCCC
RNAcentral lists this ribosomal RNA (267 nucleotides) under uncultured bacterium. RNAcentral's name for it is "partial 16S ribosomal RNA". It matches the Rfam family "Bacterial small subunit ribosomal RNA", at positions 333 to 616 of the family's 1533-position model. The record is from RNAcentral.